UAUUAAAAAUUUUAUCUAUUUAUAAUAUUAAAAAUUGACGUGGCUAAUAAAAUAAUUGAAUGAUGAUAUGUAACGUGCUAUAUAUAUCUUAUAUUGACAUACAUAGACUAAUUUUAAAUGGUAGAUAUGGAUGAAAUUUUUAUCA
Molecule: microRNA precursor, 145 nt
Filed under: Gossypium arboreum
Lineage: Eukaryota; Viridiplantae; Streptophyta; Magnoliopsida; Malvales; Malvaceae
Description: MIR7502 microRNA precursor family
Rfam family: MIR7502 microRNA precursor family
Source: Rfam by way of RNAcentral